AGCCUUGUACAGUGGAAGUAUCAUAGCCAAUGAGGUUUAUUGAGGUGCAAUUAUUUCUAAAUAAAA
RNAcentral lists this small nuclear RNA (66 nucleotides) under Cervus elaphus hippelaphus. Lineage: Eukaryota; Metazoa; Chordata; Mammalia; Artiodactyla; Cervidae. The record is from RNAcentral.